This 866-nucleotide long non-coding RNA is filed under the name Penaeus japonicus. Its description in RNAcentral is "uncharacterized LOC122251182". Lineage: Eukaryota; Metazoa; Arthropoda; Malacostraca; Decapoda; Penaeidae. The record is from RNAcentral.
UAAGAUAUAGUAAACAGUGGAUAAAAUAUAAAAGGGAGAGAAAAAGAAAGAAACGCAGGGAAUAUAUCAUUUUUAGUAAAACACCUUUCCAUCUUUUUGUCUUAGCAAAUUAUAGCGCAGGUUAGUGCAAAGUUAAUCGAGUGUUCUAAAAGCGGAAAACCUAGAACAGAUUGUGUGAAGAUAACACAGUAAGUUUUUAGCGAAAUUGCAAGGUCACCUUGGAAAGAGCGGUGCAAUAAAUGUAUAUUCCAAUAGACAUGUAAUUUUGGAUGAAAGUGCAGUGAAUAUAAAUACCAGAAUACAUACGAGUUCUUCGCCUCUGCAAGGCGUCGCCGACAGCCCUCAAAACCCAGGUCUGACAAUGACGAAAAGCAGAGUGAUACUUAGCUAUCGACUGCCUGAUACUGAGCCGACAACCAGGGGUAGAAGGAGGCGCAGCUCGCCUCUCAGAGGUCGAUUUCGCUCGCAAGGUUAUCUCGGAAAAGACAAUCUAGAGUGGAGGCCGCCAGAGGGGAAGUCAUUCAACAAGCGGGUGCAGCUCUAAGAGCUUGAGAGGCUACGUCCCUAUCAGCUGGCUCGAAGUCGCCCCUGACUUUGGAUGCAGACAAUCGCGCUCCAAGCUUGUAAGGCACAUACGAGUGUGCGUGUCAGGCGACAAGUUGGUAGUGGGGGCAGAGUGAGGGAUGCAUCAAGAUCAACAAGGGCGCUCGGGGGCUACUGGGCGCUCCAUCACUGACACAACUAGUUCACUCGGCACAAGACGAAGGGCCACCGAGGGGUGCUGUGUGCGAGGGCAGGCUGUGCUUGGCAAACAUGUUGUUAUUGCUUGCUACACUAAUUAAUGUAUUAUGAAAUACAUGAACUAA